Molecule: non-coding RNA, 941 nt
Filed under: Drosophila virilis
Lineage: Eukaryota; Metazoa; Arthropoda; Insecta; Diptera; Drosophilidae
Description: Eukaryotic large subunit ribosomal RNA
Rfam family: Eukaryotic large subunit ribosomal RNA
Source: Rfam by way of RNAcentral
GUAACCAGGAGCCCACGGAACUUGUUCCGUCCUGGUUAGUUGGUGCGGCCCUUCGGGGAGUAUCGUGGUGGUUGUGGUUUAACACCCAAAUGCGGGUAGAGCAUCGCUCGACGUGGAGUUGCGUCAUACAACCGGGUUCCGUGACCCAGAUUACGGAAGAGGCUUAGAUAGUCCUCGUGCCAAACCAAGGUAGAAGUCACAACCAAACAGUCGUGUCUUUAAUUGGUACCUGCGGAAUUGUUCCAAGGGGGCGGUGAUUGACGCUUGAAUUAAUCCUAUACUAGGAACCGUGAGAUUAAGCCAUCGCGGCAGGUGCUCACGUUAAGCCCACUGACUUUCAUGUCCCUAUCUACUAUCUAGCGAAACCACAGCCAAGGGAACGGGCUUGGAAUAAUUAGCGGGGAAAGAAGACCCUUUUGAGCUUGACUCUAAUCUGGCAGUGUAAGGAGACAUAAGAGGUGUAGAAUAAGUGGGAGAUAUUAGACUUCGGUUUGGUAUCGACAAUGAAAUACCACUACUCUUAUUGUUUCCUUACUUACUUGAUUAAAUGGAACGUGUAUCAUUUCCUAGCCAUUAUACGGAUAUAAUUAUUAUGUCUUAUGGUAUUGGGUUUUGAUGCAAGCUUCUUGAUCAAAGUAUCACGAGUUUGUUAUAUAAUCGCAAACAAAUUCUUUAAUGAGAGAAUGCAUUUAUGUAUUAUUGAUUUAAAAAUUUGGUAUAACUCCAAUUACUCAGGUAUGAUCCAAUUCAAGGACAUUGCCAGGUAGGGAGUUUGACUGGGGCGGUACAUCUCUCAAAUAAUAACGGAGGUGUCCCAAGGCCAGCUCAGUGCGGACAGAAACCACACAUAGAGCAAAAGGGCAAAUGCUGACUUGAUCUCGGUGUUCAGUACACACAGGGACAGCCAAAGCUCGGCCUAUCGAUCCUUUUGGUUAAAGAGU